This 466-nucleotide ribosomal RNA is filed under the name uncultured bacterium. RNAcentral's name for it is "partial 16S ribosomal RNA". It matches the Rfam family "Bacterial small subunit ribosomal RNA", at positions 28 to 507 of the family's 1533-position model. The record is from RNAcentral.
GAUGAACGCUGGCGGCGUGCUUAACACAUGCAAGUCGAACGAUGAAGCCCAGCUUGCUGGGUGGAUUAGUGGCGAACGGGUGAGUAACACGUGAGUAACCUGCCCUUAACUCUGGGAUAAGCCUGGGAAACUGGGUCUAAUACCGGAUAGGAGCGUCCACCGCAUGGUGGGUGUUGGAAAGAUUUAUCGGUUUUGGAUGGACUCGCGGCCUAUCAGCUUGUUGGUGAGGUAAUGGCUCACCAAGGCGACGACGGGUAGCCGGCCUGAGAGGGUGACCGGCCACACUGGGACUGAGACACGGCCCAGACUCCUACGGGAGGCAACAGUGGGGAAUAUUGCACAAUGGGCGCAAGCCUGAUGCAGCGACGCCGCGUGAGGGAUGACGGCCUUCGGGUUGUAAACCUCUUUCAGUAGGGAAGAAGCGAAAGUGACGGUACCUGCAGAAGAAGCACCGGCUAACUACGUG